Non-coding RNA from Pelobates cultripes (western spadefoot toad), 251 nucleotides. The record is from the annotation of a GenBank genome assembly. NCBI's taxonomy places the organism in Eukaryota, Metazoa, Chordata, Amphibia, Anura, Pelobatidae.
GCAUUUUCUUGCAAAACAAAUAAUUUUGCAGCCUCAGGCUGAAAUUGAUUAUAUACAAAUAUAAAAAUACACAACUGUUUGUGACUACGUAAUCACAUUAGAGGCCAAGAAUAUAAUAGAAUGCUCAGGGGUGUAUCACUAAACAGUAAGUAGUGGUUGUAUGAAAACCAGUUUAGCACGAACAGAUAAGAAUAAGACUGUAUUCGUAUUAAUAACUAAGCUAUAUCUUCCUUUAUUUUGCAAAUCUGUGC